GGCAAUAAAAAUAUAUAUUUUUAAAAACUACAUACAGGUGCUAAAAAUAAAGCCUCUUUUGCAACCCAGAACUCAUUGCUCAAUAUGAGUUUUGAUACAUAUAAGAAGGAACAUG
Molecule: small nucleolar RNA, 115 nt
Organism: Myotis myotis
Lineage: Eukaryota; Metazoa; Chordata; Mammalia; Chiroptera; Vespertilionidae
Product: small nucleolar RNA SNORA40
Exons: 1
Source: RefSeq, a predicted model, not a curated record